GACGAACGCUGGCGGCGUGCUUAACACAUGCAAGUCGAACGGAAAGGCCCUGCUUUUGUGGGGUGCUCGAGUGGCGAACGGGUGAGUAACACGUGAGUAACCUGCCCUUGACUUUGGGAUAACUUCAGGAAACUGGGGCUAAUACCGGAUAGGAGCUCCUGCUGCAUGGUGGGGGUUGGAAAGUUUCGGCGGUUGGGGAUGGACUCGCGGCUUAUCAGCUUGUUGGUGGGGUAGUGGCUUACCAAGGCUUUGACGGGUAGCCGGCCUGAGAGGGUGACCGGCGACAUUGGGACUGCGAGACGGCCCAGACUCCUACGUGAGGCAGCAGGCGGGAAUAUGGCACAAUGGGCGGAAGCCUGAUGCAGCAACGCCGCGGGCGGGAUGACGGCCUUCGGGUUGUAAACCGCUUUCGCCUGUGACGAAGCGUGAGUGACGGUAAUGUGUAAAGAAGCACCGGCUAACUACGUG
RNAcentral lists this ribosomal RNA (468 nucleotides) under uncultured bacterium. RNAcentral describes it as "partial 16S ribosomal RNA". It matches the Rfam family "Bacterial small subunit ribosomal RNA", at positions 28 to 507 of the family's 1533-position model. The record is from RNAcentral.